RNAcentral lists this unclassified non-coding RNA (395 nucleotides) under soil metagenome. RNAcentral describes it as "partial contains 5.8S ribosomal RNA, internal transcribed spacer 2, and large subunit ribosomal RNA". The stretch from base 1 to 122 matches the Rfam family "5.8S ribosomal RNA", at positions 35 to 154 of the family's 154-position model. The record is from RNAcentral.
GAUGAAGAACGUAGCGAAAUGCGAUACUUGGUGUGAAUUGCAGAAUCCCGUGAACCAUCGAGUCUUUGAACGCAAGUUGCGCCCGAAGCCAUCAGGUUGAGGGCACGUCUGCCUGGACGUCACAUAUCGUUGCCCAAUGCCUAUUGCAGUGCAAUAGGAAUUUCUAGGGCGAAUGAUGGCUUCCCGUGAGCGUUGUUGCCUCGCGGUUGGUUGAAAAUCGAGUCCUUGGUAGGGUGUGCCAUGGUAGAUGGUGGUCGAGUUAGAACGAUACCGAUCAUGUGCAUGCUCCCCAAAAUAUGGCCUCUAUGACCCACACGCGUCUUUUGACGCUCAUGACGAGACCUCAGGUCAGGCGGGGCUACCCGCUGAAUUUAAGCAUAUCAAUAAGCGGAGGA